Molecule: ribosomal RNA, 1869 nt
Filed under: Triticum aestivum (bread wheat)
Lineage: Eukaryota; Viridiplantae; Streptophyta; Magnoliopsida; Poales; Poaceae
Description: partial small subunit ribosomal RNA
Source: RNAcentral
AUGGAGGAGGAGAUCCGCGCGGAGUUCGAGGGCAGCGGCUUCACCAUCGGCGGCGACAGCGCCCAGAUCCUCUCCACGCUGCUGACCUACUGCGUCAACUACAAGAUGAGCCCUGCGGAUCUCGUCUCCAACUGGGAGGUCUACUACCUCAACAGGCAACUGGAUGGGUUAAAGGUCGAAAGCUCAUACCUGGAUGGUUUUCUGUCACACCUUCAAAAUGAAGUAAAGGAAAAGCUUAUAAAAGAAGAAACAGACCUUCACAUUUACUCCAGUAAUGAUGUUGACAUGCUCUUGAGCAAUACGCACACAGAUGAAGAGGGCUUCCUGGGCACACCAAGCACGAAACAGGAAAAGCCACAUGGAGAGUCAUCUAACUCUGAGCUUACUCCUCUGACAACUGAAAGGCCAUCAUCCAUCAGAGCGGCUAAAACAAAUGGUGAUCGUAUUACCCCUUUUGCACAACGAGUAAAUAAAUUUACUCAGCAUUAUGUUCUGAAUGCUGAUAAUGUGGCUAGCGAGCCAAGUAAAGAUGAUGUUGAAACCUCAGAAGAUGAAUUAAUCAGAAGGAUCCAACCAAGUCAAAAAUGUACCUUGCAAGUUCAACGCUCAAAGCCUGAACCAGGUUGCAGGUUCAUGUAUGACAGGAUGGAAGACCGAUUUAAUUACCUGGAAGAUCGUAUUGGAAGGUCAGCAAGAUUGUUUUCUGCAACUGGGCUCUGUGGACAACCUGCAGAUGCUACCCUUGCUUCAGAGGAGAACAUGUUUGCAGUUGGCAUGGUAAUUUGCGAUGGGGAAGGUCGUUUGAAUGAAAAAUCUAUCUUGUUGCAGGGCAGUGUUGAGCACUCCAGGGGACAGCGUGUACGCCUUGAUUUGAAGGAUAUAAACCAGUUCUCGUUGUUUCCUGGCCAGGUUGUGGGUAUUGAAGGCCACAAUCCUAGUGGACACUGUUUUGUCGCAUCAAAGUUGACUGAUUCCAUACCAAUUUCUGUGGAUGAUCAACUGCCUUGUGCUAAGAAGCAAGCUGGUGACCAUGAAGGGCAUCAAAAUUCGAACACACUAUCAAGGGUGUUGUCAUCGGUCAUUGCAGCAGGUCCCUUCACAACAACCGAUAAUCUUUCGUUCGAGCCAUUGCAAGAAUUGCUCUCAUAUGCAUGCCGUAAACAGCCCCAGUUGCUCAUACUGAUGGGACCCUUUAUCGACUCUGAUCAUCCUGAAAUAAAAAAAGGAACUUCUGACCAGAGCUUUCAUGAUAUUUUCCAUUUUGAGAUUCUGAGGAAGCUUCAAGAUUUUACCCAGUAUUUGGGGCAUAAUGUUCGUGUAAUUCUUGUCCCAUCUGUGCGUGAUGCUCACCAUGACGCUGUUUUCCCCCAGCCUGCAUUUGACUUGCAUUUAUCUGAAGAUAUCACACAACAGAUUACUUGUCUGUCAAAUCCAAGUCUGUUCAGUUCUAAUGAGAUACAAUUUGGCUGUUGUACAGUAGACAUCUUGAAACAGCUGAGCGGUGAUGAAAUUUCUCGCAAGCCACCUGGAGGAAAGGCCACAGAUAGGAUCGGGAGACUUGCAACACAUAUAGUGAAGCAGCAAAGCUACUACCCUCUGUAUCCUCCUGCUGCUGGUGUGCCCAUGGACUUUUCACUUGCCAAGGAAGCAUUGGAGAUCCCAUCAGCUCCUGAUGUUCUUCUGCUUCCUUCUGAUCUUGCUCCAUCUGUGAAGCAGGUGCUUUCCGUGAAUGAAGACACGGAGGAACAUAAACGAUUCAUCUGUGUGAACCCUGGGAGGCUAUCAAAAGGUAUAGGUGGCGGCACGUUUGUAGAGCUUUACUACAACGAGGACACCGAGAAGACAAAAGCCUUCAUUAUGCGCAUCUAA